RNAcentral lists this ribosomal RNA (281 nucleotides) under uncultured bacterium. RNAcentral describes it as "partial 16S ribosomal RNA". It matches the Rfam family "Bacterial small subunit ribosomal RNA", at positions 75 to 354 of the family's 1533-position model. The record is from RNAcentral.
CUCCUUUUGAAGGUUAGCGGCGGACGGGUGAGUAACACGUGGGUAACCUACCUAUAAGACUGGGAUAACUUCGGGAAACCGGAGCUAAUACCGGAUAACAUUUAGAACCGCAUGGUUCUAAAGUGAAAGAUGGUUUUGCUAUCACUUAUAGAUGGACCCGCGCCGUAUUAGCUAGUUGGUAAGGUAACGGCUUACCAAGGCGACGAUACGUAGCCGACCUGAGAGGGUGAUCGGCCACACUGGAACUGAGACACGGUCCAGACUCCUACGGAAGGCAGCAG